UGGGGAAUAUUGCACAAUGGGCGCAAGCCUGAUGCAGCCAUGCCGCGUGUGUGAAGAAGGCCUUCGGGUUGUAAAGCACUUUCAGCGAGGAGGAAGGGUAGUGUGUUAAUAGCACAUUGCAUUGACGUUACUCGCAGAAGAAGCACCGGCUAACUCCGUGCCAGCAGCCGCGGUAAUACGGAGGGUGCAAGCGUUAAUCGGAAUUACUGGGCGUAAAGCGCACGCAGGCGGUUUGUUAAGUCAGAUGUGAAAUCCCCGCGCUUAACGUGGGAACUGCAUUUGAAACUGGCAAGCUAGAGUCUUGUAGAGGGGGGUAGAAUUCCAGGUGUAGCGGUGAAAUGCGUAGAGAUCUGGAGGAAUACCGGUGGUGAAGGCGGCCCCCUGGACAAAGACUGACGCUCAGGUGCGAAAGCGUGGGGAGCAAACA
RNAcentral lists this ribosomal RNA (427 nucleotides) under uncultured bacterium. RNAcentral describes it as "partial 16S ribosomal RNA". It matches the Rfam family "Bacterial small subunit ribosomal RNA", at positions 355 to 774 of the family's 1533-position model. The record is from RNAcentral.